GAAUUUUGGACAAUGGGCGCAAGCCUGAUCCAGCAAUGCCGCGUGCGGGAAGAAGGCCUUCGGGUUGUAAACCGCUUUUGUCAGGGAAGAAAUCUCUUGGGCUAAUACCUCGGGGGGAUGACGGUACCUGAAGAAUAAGCACCGGCUAACUACGUGCCAGCAGCCGCGGUAAUACGUAGGGUGCAAGCGUUAAUCGGAAUUACUGGGCGUAAAGCGUGCGCAGGCGGUUGUGCAAGACAGAUGUGAAAUCCCCGGGCUCAACCUGGGAACCGCAUUUGUGACUGCACGGCUAGAGUGCGGCAGAGGGGGAUGGAAUUCCGCGUGUAGCAGUGAAAUGCGUAGAUAUGCGGAGGAACACCGAUGGCGAAGGCAAUCCCCUGGGCCUGCACUGACGCUCAUGCACGAAAGCGUGGGGAGCAAACAGGAUUAGAUACCCUGGUAGUC
This 444-nucleotide ribosomal RNA is filed under the name uncultured bacterium. RNAcentral describes it as "bacterial SSU rRNA". It matches the Rfam family "Bacterial small subunit ribosomal RNA", at positions 359 to 795 of the family's 1533-position model. The record is from RNAcentral.